UGGGGAAUUUUGGACAAUGGGCGAAAGCCUGAUCCAGCAAUGCCGCGUGUGUGAAGAAGGCCUUCGGGUUGUAAAGCACUUUUGUCCGGAAAGAAAUCCUUGGCUCUAAUACAGUCGGGGGAUGACGGUACCGGAAGAAUAAGCACCGGCUAACUACGUGCCAGCAGCCGCGGUAAUACGUAGGGUGCAAGCGUUAAUCGGAAUUACUGGGCGUAAAGCGUGCGCAGGCGGUUUGCUAAGACCGAUGUGAAAUCCCCGGGCUCAACCUGGGAACUGCAUUGGUGACUGGCAGGCUAGAGUAUGGCAGAGGGGGGUAGAAUUCCACGUGUAGCAGUGAAAUGCGUAGAGAUGUGGAGGAAUACCGAUGGCGAAGGCAGCCCCCUGGGCCAAUACUGACGCUCAUGCACGAAAGCGUGGGGAGCAAACAGGAUUAGAUACCCUGGUAGUCCACGCCCUAAACGAUGUCAACUAGUUGUUGGGGAUUCAUUUCCUUAGUAACGUAGCUAACGCGCGAAGUUGACCGCCUGGGGAGUACGGUCGCAAGAUUAAAACUCAAAUGAAUUGACGGGGUCAUAGCUGUUUCCU
RNAcentral lists this ribosomal RNA (585 nucleotides) under uncultured bacterium. Its description in RNAcentral is "partial 16S ribosomal RNA". It matches the Rfam family "Bacterial small subunit ribosomal RNA", at positions 355 to 1375 of the family's 1533-position model. The record is from RNAcentral.